RNAcentral lists this ribosomal RNA (253 nucleotides) under uncultured bacterium. RNAcentral's name for it is "partial 16S ribosomal RNA". It matches the Rfam family "Bacterial small subunit ribosomal RNA", at positions 524 to 776 of the family's 1533-position model. The record is from RNAcentral.
UACGUAGGUGACAAGCGUUGUCCGGAUUUACUGGGCGUAAAGAGCGCGCAGGCGGUCGAUCAAGUCGAGUGUGAAAGCCCCCGGCUCAACUGGGGAGGGUCAUUCGAUACUGAUCGACUCGAAGGCAGGAGAGGGUAGUGGAAUUCCCGGUGUAGUGGUGAAAUGCGUAGAUAUCGGGAGGAACACCGGUGGCGAAGGCGGCGACCUGGGUCGACACUGACGCUGAGGCGCGAAAGCGUGGGGAGCAAACAGG